RNAcentral lists this non-coding RNA (479 nucleotides) under Pan troglodytes (chimpanzee). The record is from RNAcentral. Lineage: Eukaryota; Metazoa; Chordata; Mammalia; Primates; Hominidae.
CCAAUGCUGGAGGAUACAUGUGAUGACAUGAAAUGUUCCUAUUUUCCAAAGUUUUCAUCUACCAAGUCGUUCAUGUGCGGUUUAGCACCGUUAAUAUAAGUUCACUCCUUAAAGUAAUAGGUUCUGUGACAGAAGAUUCUUGGUCCUAAAUUUCUGAUUCAAAAAUGGGAAAAAAUUCCAAGAUAUAAAAGCUAUUCACCAGUAUCCCAGUUAAAUGUAUAACAUAAUAGAACAAUAUGAGUCAUCAUUGAGUCACCUUUCCCAGAUGUCUCACAGAAAACCUCCUCUGACUAUAAUGCCCAUGGAAAGUCAUCGUAGUUCCAGAAAGCGGGGGCUGACGGGACACUGUUGAGAGGAUCCAAAAUUCCGCUGCUGCCAGGUGUUGAGGAAAUGCACACACCCUCAUGAGAGAGAUAUAAACCAUCACAGAGCAUCAGAAGUGGAUGAAACUUCUUGGCCUGGAGAAUUAAAAAAAAGAA